GAAGGUUGCAAGCGUUGUUCGGAAUCACUGGGCUUAAAGCGCGCGUAGGCGGAAAUACAAGUGUCUUGUGAAAUCCCUCGGCUUAACCGAGGAAUUGCUCGGCAAACUGUAUUUCUUGAGACAAGUAGGGGUACAUGGAACUCUUGGUGGAGCGGUGGAAUGCGUAGAUAUCAAGAGGAACGCCAAUGGUGAAGACAGUGUACUGGGCUUGUUCUGACGCUGAGGUGCGAAAGCGUGGGGAGCGAACGGGAUUAGAUACCCCGGUAGUCCACGCCGUAAACGAUGUCUACUAGGUUGUGGGAGUUCUGACACUUUCACGGCCGAAGCAAAAGUGUUAAGUAGACCGCCUGGGGAGUACGGUCGCAAGGCUA
RNAcentral lists this ribosomal RNA (371 nucleotides) under uncultured organism. RNAcentral's name for it is "partial 16S ribosomal RNA". It matches the Rfam family "Bacterial small subunit ribosomal RNA", at positions 527 to 896 of the family's 1533-position model. The record is from RNAcentral.